Molecule: ribosomal RNA, 253 nt
Filed under: uncultured bacterium
Lineage: Bacteria
Description: partial 16S ribosomal RNA
Rfam family: Bacterial small subunit ribosomal RNA
Source: RNAcentral
UACAGAGGGGGCAAGCGUUGUUCGGAAUUACUGGGCGUAAAGGGCGCGUAGGCGGCCUUCUAAGUCGAACGUGAAAUCCCCGGGCUCAACCCGGGAACUGCGUCCGAGACUGUAAGGCUUGAAUCCGGGAGAGGGAUGUGGAAUUCCAGGUGUAGCGGUGAAAUGCGUAGAUAUCUGGAGGAACAUCGGUGGCGAAGGCGGCAUCCUGGACCGGUAUUGACGCUGAGGCGCGAAAGCCAGGGGAGCAAACGGG